RNAcentral lists this long non-coding RNA (973 nucleotides) under Salvia miltiorrhiza (redroot sage). RNAcentral describes it as "long non-coding RNA (SMIL_LNC004362)". The record is from RNAcentral. Lineage: Eukaryota; Viridiplantae; Streptophyta; Magnoliopsida; Lamiales; Lamiaceae.
GCCACUUUCAUUUAGUAAAAUUAAAAUUUGGCCUAUGAAAUAAAAACAUUAAAAAUUGGCCAGUUUUUGUGUAAAAGUACAAAAUUACCCCUUACUUUAAAAUUUAAAAAAAUGGCCAGUCACUAUUCACUCAAUCCUCUCUCUCUCACAAUCCAAAUCGAAACACACACACACGACUCAAAUCUGUCGACUCCCUCUCCUCAAGGUCCCGCCGCCGCCUGAAAUUCCUGGCGAGGCGGCUCUUCCGGCGACGUCGCCGUCGAUUGCCGUCGUUCUCCUUCUUUCUCAUCUCCUCCGGCGACCACAACUCCUGCUACAGCCGCCGCUCUCAACAACUCCCCCUCUCUGCUCGAGCUCCGGCGCUUGAGCCCUAGCUCCCCCAGAUCCAGUGGCUCUCACCCCUACCCUCUCUGCUACACGGCGCUCUCUGACAUUCUCACCGAGGACGGCGUCGCCGAUGGCGCUCAGUCGCCUUUUCCUGAAUCCUAUUUCGACAGCGCGAGCCCUAGCCCCAAUUUCGGAGUAGUGAUUGAAGAAUUUUCCAGCGUCUGAGGAGGAUUGAAGAAUUUCGAUCUAAUGUGAUCAAAGCUGUAGUGAUUUUGUCGAGAUUGAAGAAUUUCGAUCUAUUUUUCCUUCACAAUUUAUGUCGAGAGUUUUGUUUUAGCUUUGAUGAAUGAGAAAUAGAUGUGAGGGAUAGGCUGAGGAAGGAGGUGUUGGUGCCGCUGUGGAUCGGAGGGCGCUUCAGCUGCCGGAGGUGUAUCUUGAGGGAGUAGUGAAUUUUUAAGAUACCAACUUUGAAAUUAUUGCCCAGCAAUAUUCGUUUGUUUUGGUUGUUGGCAAAAUUUAGGAGUUCAUGAUUUUGAUUGUAUUGUAAUGAUAAUUAAUUAAUAUAUUUAACUGAUAUUUUGAGAGUGUAUAGAUCGAUUGAAAGAUAAAGAGAUUUUGGACAAUUGAUUAAAGUUCUUGAAUUCAC